Molecule: ribosomal RNA, 460 nt
Filed under: uncultured bacterium
Lineage: Bacteria
Description: partial 16S ribosomal RNA
Rfam family: Bacterial small subunit ribosomal RNA
Source: RNAcentral
CCUACGGGCGGCAGCAGUGAGGAAUAUUGGUCAAUGGACGAGAGUCUGAACCAGCCAAGUAGCGUGAAGGAUGACUGCCCUAUGGGUUGUAAACUUCUUUUAUAUGGGAAUAAAAUGUUCCACGUGUGGGAUUUUGUAUGUACCAUAUGAAUAAGGAUCGGCUAACUCCGUGCCAGCAGCCGCGGUAAUACGGAGGAUCCGAGCGUUAUCCGGAUUUAUUGGGUUUAAAGGGAGCGUAGGUGGAUUGUUAAGUCAGUUGUGAAAGUUUGCGGCUCAACCGUAGAAUUGCAGUUGAUACUGGCAGUCUAGAGUACAGUAGAGGUGGGCGGAAUGCGUGGUGUAGCGGUGAAAUGCUUAGAUAGCACGAAGAACGCCGAUUGCGAAGGCAGCUCACUGGACUGCAACUGACACUGAGGCACGAAAGUGUGGGUAUCAAACAGGAUUAGAUACCCCAGUAGUC